AAUAAAUAAAUAAAAUAAAAUAAAAUAAAAAUAAAAAAAAAAAAAGCAAAAAACUAAAAUGGGUUUAACAACCAAAAAUGCAAAGAGUGAUUUUAUUGAUUCUUCCUAUUUCAGUCAAAAACACAUUGGGGAGUUCCCACUGUGGUGUAGCAGCUUAAGAAUCUGACUGCAGCUAUUUAGGUUGCUGCAGAGGUGUGGGUUCGAUCCCUGGCCUGGAAACUUCCAUGUGCCAGGGGUGCAGCCAUAAAAAGGAAAACAAAAGCAAAAACUCAUUGGGCUGAUGACUUAGAAAAAAAUACCUGCAACAAUUUUUUUUUUUUGCCCCUUUUCCUGAGUUACAAUCUGGCUCUAGUCUAUGGAGCUUGCAUUACUUUUUUUCUAAAAGUAUUAAUUACUCUGCACCCACCUGCACUAAAAUACUUUUGAUACUUGUUGAAGUGUGAACUCCUCCUACAUUUUAUCUGUUUAUUUUCCUGUCCAAAGGUCAUCCGAUAUCAAACUGUCACAGUUUGAUACACGAUCAAGGCUUGUGUAUAUAUAGACAAGGCUUGUGUAUAUAUAGACAUGAUUGGAGUCCUGAAGAAAUGUUUUUGAUGAUGUAAUUGAUGUAAAGUCAGAUUAGAGAAAGAUAAUUCAUCUCUUUUCAGGAAGGAGUAAAGUCACAUUGCUGUUGCUGUUUUCAUUUUCCAAAGUCUAAUUAAUGGUUAUUGCCACCACUGCCAAAUCCUCUUUCUGUUAAUUGCUUUUUUACAGAGAAAUAAAGUCCAUCAAUUACUUUUCCAUCAUUCAACUGUAGACCUUGUUGCCUAUGAGAAGAUCCUCAUCUAAAUACAAGUUUUCAUUAUUUCGGUCCCAUGAGAAGAGCAAUCUUACCCUAUCACUAGCUCUAGCUCUAACGUCAGUAGCCAGUUGUGGAAUUUAGUAUGUGUUACUCCACAUUUUCUGUAGACAUUACCAUCCUGACUAUUACAAAAGGAAAGGAUGUACUGCAUACCCAGUAAGAGCCACUCACUAUUCUGAGUUUAUUAGCAAUUAGUUUGUUUUGAUUCCUAACACAGUUGCUUUUUUUAAAUUUGUGACAGUUAAUUUGAAAGUUUAUAUAAUUACUUAGUUUUGAAUUGUAUAAUAAACCACUCAAAUAACAGUGCAGUCAUUCAAUCAGAACCCUCCAGAAAACCUGAAAUGCUUUUCUCUUAUAUUUCUUACUAGCACAGUUAUUUUUCUUACUCUUUCUAUUUUAUUCUCAUUUUAUCAUGUCUUGAAGGGCAUACUCUAAACCCUGAGACAGGGGAAAUCAUUAGAGUGUGUAUUCAUAGACAUUUUGUAAACUUUGUUUUGAUUUUCCAUUUUUAUGGUUUUGGGCCAUCUAUAUUUCUCUUUUAGUUUUCAGUGUAAGCGUCCACAAAAUUUCAAUAUAACACUUAACUUUUAUCUCUGAUUUUACCUGGCUUUUAUAGUAAACCAGAGACAAACUACAUAAUUUCCUUUGAAAUUGGCAGAAACUUAUAUUUUCCCAUAAGUUUUGUGACAUUUGAAAGUAUUCUACAAUAAUGUUGGUUUGCCUAGGUCUAGUUUUAUCAAGAAAUUCUGGUCUUGUAAUGUGAAGAGAGUAUUUUAUAAAUGAGUUAAUGUGUCAUGUAGCACACUAGACAGAAAUAAGCCUUGGUAAAACAGAAAUCUAUAAAGGAAGCCAAUUCAUUCUUAUUGCCUACUCAGGCAAUAAGACUGACCAUAAAAGGGCAGUCUCUAUUCACCCUAGAAGUCUUUACUUUCAUAGACAAUAAUGAAAUUAAGCCCCUUAUCACUCAUGUAAUCCUUGAAACUCAUAGGUACCCUGUUCCUUCUCUACCCUGCCAGUUAUUGGAAACAGGAAAAAGCUUCUUUCAACCUUGUUAUUUGGGAUUUGAAAUUCCAAGUUUUUGUAAUGAUUUCCUUUUUUAUAUUUAAGAGUCAUUAGUUAGUAAAAGAAUAAGCAUGAAAAGAAAAAGAUAAAAUGACAUCUGAUCCAAGACACUUCCUGGUCAAAUUAAAUAGGACAUAAUUAGGAUGAUCUUGCCACAUCUGGUUCUUAACUCAGAGCUUCAUCUGUGGGUUUAUGAACCUCUAGGGGAGGGUGGAGACCAACCAAGUUCUAAUGAUACUUUGCAAUGUCAUCAUUUGAAUAUUUCUUUCUAGAACACUUUUUUUUUCAAUAGCUAUUGUAUCAUUUGAUGAUCUGAUAUAAAUUUUACUUUUCUGUCUUUUAAAUGGAUGUUGAAAUUUCAGCAAGGCAUAUAAAGUUGUAUUGGUUUAAAGAAAUCCUGAAUAAUGUGGUGUAUCGUCCACCAAGCUUUAAGCCAGUCAUUUGACAUGGCUGGUGCCUGUCUAGUGGCUGACAUUUUGGUGGGUCAGAAAUAGAGUAGAAUUGUGCCUUUUUUAUCUACUUUCCUUGUGAGUAAGAUUGAGCAAUUCCCUAAGUCUUGUUUAUAAAUUAGUUAACUAACUGUUUUAAUCUAUUUUCUGAUAGUCUCCAAUGAUUUCUAGUCAAAUACAGCCCUUGGAUGAAAUCCAUAAUGUCAAUCACUUUAACACAUUUAGGCAGAAAUCUAUAUUAUUGUGGUUUCUGCAAGAAUUGUGCUAAGGCCAUGACUCAUUCUGAGCACAUACAAGGAAACAAUUCCCUAUCCCCCUGGUGGGAUCCUACUAUACUCUUUUCCCCUUUAAACUAAUCAUUUGGUUAAAAGACAGAGAAAUACCCUAAAAAUGGGUAGAGGGAAUGAGAUGGACUGGUAGGUUGGGGUUUUGAAUGCAAACAGUUACAUUAGGGAUGGAUGGGUAAUGGGGUCCUACUGUACAGCACAGGGAACUGUGUGUGAUUGGGUCACUUUGCUGUACAACAGAAAUUGAAGAGACACUCUAAAUCGACUAUAUUUUAAUUCUAAAAAUGUACAAUUUUUUUCCUGUUGUAUAGCACUGGGAAUUAUAUCUAGUCACUUGUGAUAGAGCAUGAUGGAGGAUAAUGUGAGAAAAAGAAUGUAUAUAUGUAUGUGUGACUGGAUCACUUUGCUGUACAGUAGAAAAUUGACAAAACACUGUAAACCAAGUAUAAUGGAAAAAAUAGAAAUCAUUUAAAAAAUAAAAUAAAAUGCCUUGUCACAAGCACUGAAAAAAAAAUUUGUGUGAUUUUAGUACACUGUUCUCUCAAAUGAACAUGAGAUUGCAGGUAAGAAAAUUAAGUAGAUGGAAAGAAUAGGCAUUUCCAUUCUCUCAGUGUCUCAGGCAAUAGGUACUUGAUACAUAUAUUUGCUAACUUGUAUUGACUCCUUUCAGCUACCAUUAGGGACCAAUGACUGGAAGUAUGGCCAUUAGCUGUAGGCAGUUUUAUAAAUAAUGCUUGACUUGGCUUCUAAGACAAGGUUAGAGCCCUGGAUGCGUGAUCCUAGGCAAGCCCUCAUCUGUGAAAUGAGGAUGAGAAUAUGCUUCUUCUGCUAACUCAGUGAUGAACAAUAGUUUAAAAUGAUAAAUGAUGAAUUCAUGUGGAAGUUCUUGGUGAUUGAUGAAUUGCUUCCUAAAUGUAAUAUAUUGAUAUCUCCUUAGUGAUGAAAGAGGAAGGAAAAAAAAAAAAAAACAAGGAAAUAUGGCAUCCAUGCAUACUAACUAUGAGCAGGGUGAAGCCCUAAGUGCAUUCAUGAUUUUAGUCCAGGUCUCUAAUCAAAUUCCUGAUUCAGCCAGAUGAUACAUCUUAUCUUACACUGUUAGCUGUAUUUAUCAGAAUUUUCAAAAAGCUUAUAUCAAUGUUCAACCCAGAAAUUUUAGCAAACACAGAAAAGUAUUUAGAAAUCAAAAAUCUCAAAAUUAAUAUGUUUCCUACUUUUCAUUUGGUCUUUUUAUCCUGUGCAUGUAUACACUCACAAAUAUAUACUUAUACUUAAUAUUUAUGCCAUAUUGUUUGGUCUUUCUGUAUUAUGUGUUUUUAUGGCUGAAUGUGCAUACACUUUUAUAUAAUUUGUAGUCUGAGUUUUAUUUUACACUAUCAGGAAAUUUUUACUUCAAAGAAUAAACUUUUAAUAAUACAUUUUUCUAUUUAUUUGUUUCAGAAUUUCUCUAUGUUUACAAAAGCACAAUAUACAAAAUGCUCUUAUAUCCUUGUUGGUAGGAGGCACGUUGAUAAAGCGUAACGUAUCUAUAUGCUGACUUAUGGAUUGUUACUUUCAUUACCUCAGCUGUGGCAGCAUUAAUAAUAAACAGGACUUCUUAAUAUGCUAAAAGAAUAUGAGAGACAUAUAUCUUUAAUAUGUCAUAGAGUCAAUAUUGGAAGUCUAUCUAUGGCUUGGGUUGAGUUUCUGCUAUUUAUCUAGAUUCCCUGGGCAGAAGAGAAAAGAUAGUGUUUCAGUUUUCCAUAGUCUGUGGAUGAUGCAUUAUAAAUAUUUCUCUGGGAAGAAUCAUUUAAAACAGGGGGAGGAAUUUCCCAUAGUGGCUCAGUAGUAAUGAACCCAACUAGGAUCCAUGAGGAUACAGGUUCAGUUCCUGGCCUUUCUCAAUGGGUUAAGGAUCUGGCAUUGCCGUGAGCUCUGGUGUAGGUCACGGAUGCAGCUUGGAUCCAGUGUUGCUGUGGCUGUAGUGUAGGCCAGCAGCUGUAACUAUGAUUCAGCCUCUAGCUUGGGGACUUCCAUGUGCCAUGGGUUCAGCCCAGAAU
RNAcentral lists this long non-coding RNA (4675 nucleotides) under Sus scrofa (pig). RNAcentral's name for it is "lncRNA (ENSSSCG00055016993.1)". The record is from RNAcentral. Lineage: Eukaryota; Metazoa; Chordata; Mammalia; Artiodactyla; Suidae.